This 769-nucleotide long non-coding RNA is filed under the name Podarcis lilfordi (Lilford's wall lizard). Lineage: Eukaryota; Metazoa; Chordata; Lepidosauria; Squamata; Lacertidae. The record is from RNAcentral.
GGCCACAACUUUAUUAAAUUUCAAAUGUGGGUAGACCUUGGCUCAGGCAUUGGGCGUUCUCCCUCCCCAGUCCCCAGCCGGGGACCUAGGGAGCUUCAGGGUUAUCCAGUGUGUGGGGGGGGAUGGGCCGGCUCUGGAGAACAUAUGUUCAAGCAGAGAUAGCUGCCCCCGUUACGCCGCCGCCGCAGGGGAGAGCAAUGACGACCUUUCGGCGUACGGUCAAAGCCUCCCUUCAGAAACCCCUUUAACGGGGAACCCUGGUAUCGCCGCCGCAAAGAGGAAGAUGGACUAAAGGAUUCCGCCCAAGGCCUGAUACCGCCAAAGUUGUGACGUUUUGCUACGGGAAAGGCGAAACCUGCCAAUGCAGGGAAAUUCCUUUCCGGCCCUUUAACAGCGACCUUAACGUAGCAGCGCCCGCAUACCUGUGAAGAAAAGUUAACCUGCAAAACCUAUGAAGAAAAGUUAACCUGCAAAGGAAGACAUUAACUGAGGGUGGGUAGGGUGGGAGAAGCUCUGGAGCCAAGUGAGGAUUCCCAGGUAAGAUCCUCCCUCUAUUGUGUGGGCAGGUAAUCCCUCCCCUACCUGGCCUGGUCUCCUUGGCAACGCUUCCCCCAGGUGGGAUUGGACAACUGACUGAGGUAGGCGGGGACCUCCAGGUAUCCCACCUGAGGGAAGGCAAAGCCAAGGCUAUGCUGAUGGGGCCGCUCCAGAUCCAGGGCUGUGCGCAUCCACACAAAGGGCACCCCCCGUUUUAAGCGGGGAGCGGUCA